UUCCGAAUCUUAAUAUUAAUCUGAAUCCUGUUCUUUCAAACAUUUCUGUCCAUGGUGAGUGAGGCUUUCUACACAGCAGCAUUACACCUAAACUGAACUGUACAGAUGCAAAAACCUGUAUUAUUUCCCAAAUAAUCACAUUGAACUUGAUAUUUCUGUGGUAAAUAAACAAUCUGAAUGCUUCUCAGGUGAGGUCCGGCUCACCACUGUUACAUGGACGACUUUGGAACCAGAGACAAAGAAGAGACUUCCUGGCCAAGUGUGUACUGCGUUGUUGGAAUCAUGGGGGUUGUCGUCAUCGUGCUAUCUGCAUGGGUUGCUUCAAAAUGUGUGUGUAAAGGAGAAGCCAGGGACACACCGGAUCUGAGCCGCCAGCCCUCCCAUGAUGCACUGACUACCAUCACUAUCUAUGAAAAUGUUAAGUAGUCCCCAUGUCCGUGCCUUGAUGUCAAUCUGCUCAGUUACAUAACAAAACAUGUCAUAGUAUUCAGUUUAAGAUUUGGUAACCUGCAACUUGUAUUUGACUUAUUCAAUUCUUUAUCAAUUUGUGUUUGUCACCGCUCGGCUUUGUUGUUACUUUCUUGUAUUUUCACGUCUGCUUUGUGAAUUAUUAAUUUGGUUUUAAUGGCCUUCAAAUAAAACGAAUGCUCUUUUAGGGUACAUUCUCUCAUAGAAAUGUGUUUAAUAGGUUGUGAAUAACGUUGAAAAUUGAUGUUGUGCUUUUGUAUUCCUGUAAAUCAAGCUGUGAUCACACAGAAGUGAAAUUUCUCACAUGAGAAACCGCUAUUGUUGAGAUAUACCAAUGUGUGUGUGCAGAAUGGAACACAUUCAAGGGUAAAUAGUUUUGUUUCCUGUACAGGCAACACUCUUGUGUUCACACGUCCUGUGCAGAUACACUUUUUAAAUGUGAUUGUGUACUCGUGUGUGUGUGUGUGUGUGUGUGUG
Etheostoma spectabile (orangethroat darter) is the source of this 945-nucleotide long non-coding RNA. RefSeq lists it as uncharacterized. The transcript is spliced from 3 exons. The record is from RefSeq and is a predicted model, not a curated record. NCBI's taxonomy places the organism in Eukaryota, Metazoa, Chordata, Actinopteri, Perciformes, Percidae.